This 253-nucleotide ribosomal RNA is filed under the name uncultured bacterium. RNAcentral describes it as "partial 16S ribosomal RNA". It matches the Rfam family "Bacterial small subunit ribosomal RNA", at positions 524 to 776 of the family's 1533-position model. The record is from RNAcentral.
UACAGAGGUGGCAAGCGUUGUUCGGAAUUACUGGGCGUAAAGGGCGCGUAGGCGGUCUUGUAAGUCUUGUGUGAAAUCCCUCGGCUCAACUGAGGAACUGCACGGGAUACUGCGAGACUUGAGUUCGGGAGAGGGAAGCGGAAUUCCGGGUGUAGCGGUGAAAUGCGUAGAUAUCGGGAGGAACACCAGUGGCGAAGGCGAUCACCUGGGGUUGUUCUGACGCUGAGGAGCGAAAGCUAGGGGAGCAAACGGG